UGGGGGAUAUUGCACAAUGGGCGAAAGCCUGAUGCAGCGACGCCGCGUGGGGGAUGAAGGCUUUCGGGUUGUAAACCUCUUUCGCUAUCGAACAAGGCCCGCUUAGGGUGGGUUGAGGGUAGGUGGAGAAGAAGCGCCGGCUAACUACGUGCCAGCAGCCGCGGUAAUACGUAGGGCGCGAGCGUUGUCCGGAAUUAUUGGGCGUAAAGGGCUUGUAGGCGGCUUGUUGCGCCUGCUGUGAAAACGCGGGGCUUAACUUCGCGCGUGCAGUGGGUACGGGCAGGCUUGAGUGUGGUAGGGGUGACUGGAAUUCCAGGUGUAGCGGUGGAAUGCGCAGAUAUCUGGAGGAACACCGAUGGCGAAGGCAGGUCACGGGGCCAUUACUGACGCUGAGGAGCGAAAGCAUGGGUAGCGAACAGG
This 420-nucleotide ribosomal RNA is filed under the name bacterium. Its description in RNAcentral is "partial 16S ribosomal RNA". It matches the Rfam family "Bacterial small subunit ribosomal RNA", at positions 355 to 776 of the family's 1533-position model. The record is from RNAcentral.